GUUUCCUGAGCCAUAAUCCUGUGCUUCAAACAAAAAAAAAGGUGGGGAAAGUGAGUAUUCACCACGGAGCUAUUUGAUUCUGUGGAGUGCUGACAGGUACUCUGUCCUGAGUAGAAUUACAGGGACUCUGCCUACCCCAGGCAGACCCAGUAUCAGGUCAGCUAUAAUUGGCACCUGGUGAGAGGUCACGAAACUCAGGCUGUGGGAGCGAGUGCAUUAGGGGCCCUGUGACAGCAGUUGCCAUGCGUUUUCUGAGUGCUGUCAGGCAGGACCUUCAAUCACAGCAUGCUUUGUGCUGUGCGUUCUAAAAAUGGAAAUUAAACCACCAGAUCCUCACCAGACUGUGAGGCUUGAUGGAUGAGCUUAAUGAACCCAGGAUAAAGGAAUU
This 388-nucleotide long non-coding RNA is filed under the name Bos taurus (domestic cattle). RNAcentral describes it as "long non-coding RNA NONBTAT023065". Lineage: Eukaryota; Metazoa; Chordata; Mammalia; Artiodactyla; Bovidae. The record is from RNAcentral.